Neofelis nebulosa (Clouded leopard) is the source of this 670-nucleotide long non-coding RNA. RefSeq lists it as uncharacterized. The record is from RefSeq and is a predicted model, not a curated record. Lineage: Eukaryota; Metazoa; Chordata; Mammalia; Carnivora; Felidae. The transcript has 3 exons.
CUGUUUUCGCCGGUAGAAACCCCGCGGCCCCGCAGGCGCCCGGGGGCGCUGGUUGGCUGGGGGUCUGCGUGUGGCGGGUUGGGCGCUUGAGUGCUGGGGAACACUCGGAAGUCGUUUUAGCCCCCUUCUGUAUUUUCUUUUAUUAUUGAAUCCUAAAACAGCCCGAAGAAGGAGGGGGGGCGGUAAGGAUUAGGGAUGCUUGCCUCCCAUUCAGAGAUAAGGAAACUGAGGUUCAGAAAGGCUGCCAGACACCAUGAAUCUAUGAGAGCGUCACUUGUUGUCUCUUGCCUCCUUUUCUCUCCCAGCAAAUAUAAUCUGGGGGCACCUGGGCCCCACCAGACCGGCCUCUCUGAUCACACUCAAGGAUUAACAAUCAGAAGGGAGAAGGUGAUGUGAAGCGGAGCAGAGGGCGAUUUCAAGGCGACCGUGGCGAAGACGGCACCGAGCAGCCACGAGCCAAGGACCGCUCGCGGCCACCGGAAGCCGGAAGAGAGAAGCCAGAGGCGCGAAGCCGGAAGAGAAAAGGCACGGAUCCUCCCCCAGAGCCUACGGGGGCCGGGUGGCCCGAUGGACGUUCAGUUUCCACCCAGCGAUCCCGAUUUCCGAUUUCUGGCCUCCGGAACCGUCAUGAGACAAUAAAUCAUCACAUUUGUGGCAAUUUGUUACAGCA